CUGUGACGCCUUUCUUGGGCGUUUCCUCCCUAGACUCCAGGCCGCCUUCGGGCGGCCUUUCUUUUUUGCGGAU
Molecule: small RNA, 73 nt
Filed under: Skermanella stibiiresistens SB22
Lineage: Bacteria; Pseudomonadati; Pseudomonadota; Alphaproteobacteria; Rhodospirillales; Azospirillaceae
Description: Makes More Granules Regulator RNA (mmgR)
Rfam family: Makes More Granules Regulator RNA (mmgR)
About the family: SuhB later renamed mmgR (makes more granules regulator) was a putative non-coding RNA found multiple times in the Agrobacterium tumefaciens genome and related alpha-proteobacteria. Other non-coding RNAs uncovered in the same analysis include: speF, ybhL, metA, and serC.
Source: Rfam by way of RNAcentral